GCGCUCUGCUCCUCCGCGCUGGAUCCCGAUCAAACUAUAGGUUUACACUCUUAAUGUGGACCCGAAAAGCAUCAUGUACCGGAGGCGCCCGGAGUCUGACGUCACCGCGGCUAUGAUGUCCCUGCAGUCCAGCCGAGUCCUGCUUCUGCAUGUGCCAGUCCUCCUCCUCCUCCGGGACUCCUGCGGGGCUGCACUCCUGAUUCUCGCUAGUCGGCGCUGUUGCAUCAUGCAGUCUUUGAAGCGUGGCUCGGAGCCAUCUCCAAGCGCGCUCACUUGCCUUUACGUGCACGUGCACCCCGCAAUGAGCGCACGCCCUGACCCCGAAAAAGAGGCGCAGCAGACACAGUUUUGCUGCCAUUAUGCAGUGUGGGGUAAAUUACUUCUAAAGAGUAAUAGAAUACUUUACUUACUGUAUCAAAUUAACAAUUAAACUACUUUACUCAGUACCUAUUUGAAAGAGUCAUUAACUUACUUUUCUUUCUCUCAUCUACAAAUUCUCGAGGGAAAAACAGUUAACACAAACUUUAUUUUUAAAGUAAUGACCUCGUGCAAAGUUUGAACCUGGUUCAAGACAUAAUCUGGUUUUAUUAGAAUUCAGACAACAGUGUGAACAAUGAUACAAAAAUAAGUUACAACACGCGUGGUCAAAGUGAGAUGAACCUUACGCCUGGAUCCAUAUCUAUCAAAGCUGAAAUGAAGCCACUCUCUUGAAAGCACAAAGAACUGUUUUAUGCCUCGUGUUCAUUUUCUCUGACUUUGGUUUUUCAGUACAGUAAGUUGAACCUGUUUCUCUCUCUACACCUGCCUGUUGUGCACUGCUGCGAGUCCACCGAUACCCCACCCCCCUUUGUGGAGCGCGUUAAGCAGAGACGCAGUCACCUGCAGCUGAGGGAGAAAAAAGGAGCCCCCUGGUUUCCCUAUGGAAUAUUAUUUCUCAGGAAAACUCCUGCCAGCAGGUGUCACUGUUGUCUGGUACGGCUCCUCAUCUGAAAACUCCUUUGGAUUGGACGGCAGGCUCACCCUUCCAAGAACUCCCCACCUUAGCGUUGUUGUUGGGAACUGAACACCAAACAGGAGACUCGUAUCAGAAACAUCUGCAGCUGUCGGGAGGCGUCAUGUGACAUGUGGCAUCCAGACCUCCAUUCGUCAAAUCAGCACUGGAUGUCAGGGGGUCGAAUCCUCGGGUGCAGAACUUCUGCCGAUGUUUGUAGAGACCCCCCCCCCCCCCCCC
Molecule: long non-coding RNA, 1231 nt
Organism: Oryzias latipes (Japanese medaka)
Lineage: Eukaryota; Metazoa; Chordata; Actinopteri; Beloniformes; Adrianichthyidae
Source: RefSeq, a predicted model, not a curated record